RNAcentral lists this ribosomal RNA (402 nucleotides) under uncultured bacterium. RNAcentral describes it as "partial 16S ribosomal RNA". It matches the Rfam family "Bacterial small subunit ribosomal RNA", at positions 28 to 526 of the family's 1533-position model. The record is from RNAcentral.
GACGAACGCUGGCGGCGUGCCUAAUACAUGCAAGUCGAACGCAGUGGGGACGGGUGAGUACACGUGGGUAACCUCCCAUCAGAGGGGAUAACACUUGGAAACAGGUGCUAAACCGAUACUGAUGGAUGAACCCGCGGUGCAUUAGAUAGUUGGUGAGGUAACGGCUCACAAAGGCCACGAGGCAUAGACGUCCUGUGAGUGUGAUCGGCCACACUGGGACUGAGACACGGCCCAGACUCCUACGGGAUGCAGCAGUAGGGAAUCUGCGGCAAUGGACGAAAGUCUGACCGAGCAACGCCGCGUGAGUGAAGAAGUUUUUCGGAUCGUAAACCUCUGUUGUUAGAGAAGCGGUAUCUAACCAGAAAGCCACGGCUAACUACGUGCCAGCAGCCGCGGUAAUUC